Molecule: ribosomal RNA, 433 nt
Filed under: uncultured bacterium
Lineage: Bacteria
Description: partial 16S ribosomal RNA
Rfam family: Bacterial small subunit ribosomal RNA
Source: RNAcentral
AACGAACGCUGGCGGCAUGCCUAACACAUGCAAGUCGAACGAGACCUUCGGGUCUAGUGGCGCACGGGUGCGUAACGCGUGGGAACCUGCCCUUAGGUUCGGAAUAACUCCCCGAAAGGGGUGCUAAUACCGGAUAAUGUCUUCGGACCAAAGAUUUAUCGCCUUUGGAUGGGCCCGCGUUGGAUUAGCUAGUUGGUAGGGUAAAAGCCUACCAAGGCGACGAUCCAUAGCUGGUCUGAGAGGAUGAUCAGCCACACUGGGACUGAGACACGGCCCAGACUCCUACGGGAGGCAGCAGUGGGGAAUAUUGGACAGUGGGCGGAAGCCUGAUCCAGCAAUGCCGCGUGAGUGAUGAAGGCCUUAGGGUUGUAAAGCUCUUUUACCCGGGAUGAUAAUGACAGUACCGGGAGAAUAAGCUCCGGCUAACUCCGUG